UGGCGGGAUAGCUCAGCUGGUUAGAGCGCAUGAUUCAUAAUCAUGAGGUCCCCAGUUCAAUCCCUGGGUCCCGCUACAAU
Molecule: transfer RNA, 80 nt
Filed under: Phocaeicola vulgatus PC510
Lineage: Bacteria; Pseudomonadati; Bacteroidota; Bacteroidia; Bacteroidales; Bacteroidaceae
Description: tRNA-Met
Rfam family: tRNA
About the family: Transfer RNA (tRNA) molecules are approximately 80 nucleotides in length. Their secondary structure includes four short double-helical elements and three loops (D, anti-codon, and T loops).
Source: RNAcentral